AUUAGCGGAUGACUUGUGGCUGGGGGUGAAAGGCCAAUCAAACCGGGAGAUAGCUGGUUCUCCCCGAAAGCUAUUUAGGUAGCGCCUCGUGAAUUCAUCUCCGGGGGUAGAGCACUGUUUCGGCAAGGGGGUCAUCCCGACUUACCAACCCGAUGCAAACUGCGAAUACCGGAGAAUGUUAUCACGGGAGACACACGGCGGGUGCUAACGUCCGUCGUGAAGAGGGAAACAACCCAGACCGCCAGCUAAGGUCCCAAAGUCAUGGUUAAGUGGGAAACGAUGUGGGAAGGCCCAGACAGCCAGGAUGUUGGCUUAGAAGCAGCCAUCAUUUAAAGAAAGCGUAAUAGCUCACUGGUCGAGUCGGCCUGCGCGGAAGAUGUAACGGGGCUAAACCAUGCACCGAAGCUGCGGCAGCGACGCUUAUGCGUUGUUGGGUAGGGGAGCGUUCUGUAAGCCUGUGAAGGUGUGCUGUGAGGCAUGCUGGAGGUAUCAGAAGUGCGAAUGCUGACAUAAGUAACGAUAAAGCGGGUGAAAAGCCCGCUCGCCGGAAGACCAAGGGUUCCUGUCCAACGUUAAUCGGGGCAGGGUGAGUCGACCCCUAAGGCGAGGCCGAAAGGCGUAGUCGAUGGGAAACAGGUUAAUAUUCCUGUACUUGGUGUUACUGCGAAGGGGGGACGGAGAAGGCUAUGUUGGCCGGGCGACGGUUGUCCCGGUUUAAGCGUGUAGGCUGGUUUUCCAGGCAAAUCCGGAAAAUCAAGGCUGAGGCGUGAUGACGAGGCACUACGGUGCUGAAGCAACAAAUGCCCUGCUUCCAGGAAAAGCCUCUAAGCAUCAGGUAACAUCAAAUCGUACCCCAAACCGACACAGGUGGUCAGGUAGAGAAUACCAAGGCGCUUGAGAGAACUCGGGUGAAGGAACUAGGCAAAAUGGUGCCGUAACUUCGGGAGAAGGCACGCUGAUAUGUAGGUGAAGCGACUUGCUCGUGGAGCUGAAAUCAGUCGAAGAUACCAGCUGGCUGCAACUGUUUAUUAAAAACACAGCACUGUGCAAACACGAAAGUGGACGUAUACGGUGUGACGCCUGCCCGGUGC
RNAcentral lists this ribosomal RNA (1091 nucleotides) under Escherichia coli. RNAcentral's name for it is "partial 23S ribosomal RNA". It matches the Rfam family "Bacterial large subunit ribosomal RNA", at positions 796 to 1869 of the family's 2925-position model. The record is from RNAcentral. Lineage: Bacteria; Pseudomonadati; Pseudomonadota; Gammaproteobacteria; Enterobacterales; Enterobacteriaceae.